GAACCUGCGGAAGGAUCAUUACCGAGUGAGGGCCCUCUGGGUCCAACCUCCCACCCGUGUCUAUCGUACCUUGUUGCUUCGGCGGGCCCGCCGUUUCGACGGCCGCCGGGGAGGCCUUGCGCCCCCGGGCCCGCGCCCGCCGAAGACCCCAACAUGAACGCUGUUCUGAAAGUAUGCAGUCUGAGUUGAUUAUCGUAAUCAGUUAAAACUUUCAACAACGGAUCUCUUGGUUCCGGCAUCGAUGAAGAACGCAGCGAAAUGCGAUAAGUAAUGUGAAUUGCAGAAUUCAGUGAAUCAUCGAGUCUUUGAACGCACAUUGCGCCCCCUGGUAUUCCGGGGGGCAUGCCUGUCCGAGCGUCAUUGCUGCCCUCAAGCACGGCUUGUGUGUUGGGCCCCCGUCCCCCUCUCCCGGGGGACGGGCCCGAAAGGCAGCGGCGGCACCGCGUCCGGUCCUCGAGCGUAUGGGGCUUUGUCACCUGCUCUGUAGGCCCGGCCGGCGCCAGCCGACACCCAACUUUAUUUUUCUAAGG
Molecule: ribosomal RNA, 530 nt
Filed under: Aspergillus fumigatus
Lineage: Eukaryota; Fungi; Ascomycota; Eurotiomycetes; Eurotiales; Aspergillaceae
Description: partial 18S ribosomal RNA
Rfam family: 5.8S ribosomal RNA (bases 207-360)
Source: RNAcentral